Molecule: long non-coding RNA, 2645 nt
Organism: Gallus gallus (chicken)
Lineage: Eukaryota; Metazoa; Chordata; Aves; Galliformes; Phasianidae
Source: Ensembl
AAGUGCACGUCUAGAGUGCAAGUGAGAAAAGACAGGUAGGAGUUUAGCUGUCACUUCAGAGGAAAUAUAAAGGAGAUAAAGAAUGCAGCUUUUCAGGCCUUUCUCACCACUCAGAAAACCAUACUUUCUACUCUUCAGUUCUUCUACACUUGGUUACAAAAUAAAACCUUACAACAGUAUCGCCUGUUUCGUUUUUUAGAACACUUUAGCUUGUUCUUAGUUUAAUGAAGGAUUGAGAAAUGCUUGCAGAGGAAAUCCACAGACACUGACUGUGUUGUUGUCCCAUGACAUACGCUUUUCCUGUUGUGUCCUAUACUUGGAGUCACACUGAAAUUUGCAGCAAGACUUAACUUUCACCAAAAACUCCUCGGAAGAAGCUGUUAGCUAUGAGGAGGUAUCUUGGGACUUACCAGCCACUGCAACUAGGUAGCAAAGGCCUGAUUAAAUGGUCUCUAAUGCUAUCGGGUUGUUUUAAAAAGAAUUACAGUUUUACAUAAACUGAAUCAAACCUUCCAGCUAAAUAAAACUCAAUAGCAACUUUCUACUCAUGUGUUCUGUAAGAUAUUAUAUUACUUCAUUUUAUAGUGUAGAAGAUACUAAGUAAUAUCUGCAAUGUCUUUAUACUUGUGAAAAGAUGUGAUUUCUGCAUUUAUCUUUUCUUUUACAGCCUUGCCCUAAUAGUACAGUUUUAAUAUUUCUGUAAAUUAGAUUUUGUGUGUGUGUGAGAGAGAGAUGGAUGGUAGAAUAAGAUGAAGAAUCAUGUUUAAUAGUCAGUUAUUCUUUAAUUCUGCACACAUUCAGCUCCUUUUAGCCAACCAAGCUUUCAUGUUACAAAAAUGUAGAUGUGAUAGAAAAUACUGUAACAACAGAAAUGCUGAAUAUGUUUUAAAUUAUAAAAUCUUGUUGUUAGUAGAAUCUUCCUUGAUCUUGACUAUUGAUCUGUAUGUGUUUUUUGGUAUUUCACCCCUCUCAACAUAUUAUCAAAUACUCAAAGAAUAAUUUAUAGCUUUCUGAAGAGUAUUCAGUUCAAGUAAAGAUGCUAAUAAAAUAUUAGAAGGAGUUAACAUUUAAUGAAUGAAAAGGUACAAUAAAUAUUGGAAGUGCAUUAGAUGUGCAAUCAAAUUUUAUAGCAUUUUAAGGUAUUUCAGAUAAUAAAAAAUUAUGAUUCUUAAUCCAAAUUCUGUGUACUGAUGUACUGACUAUAAUUGAUUAAAUAAUCAUCAGCAUAGAAUCAGAGUAUUGUAGAAUCACAAUAAUAUGAGUUGGAAGGGACGUUGAAGAUCACCUACUUCCAACUCCCCUGCUAUGGGCAAGGAUAUUUUUCACUAGAUUAGCAUGCCUAAGUCUCCAUUCAACCGUGCUUUGAAUGCUUACAAGGAUGGGGCACCCACAGCUGCUCUUGGUGACUUGUUCUAGUGCAUCUACACUCUUAUAGAAAAUAAUUUCUUCCUUAUGUCCAACCUAAAUCUUCCUUCUUCUAAUUUUAAAUCUCUACUCCUUGUCCUAUCAAAGUUUGCCAAAAUUACCAAGAGUGGAAUUAUAGCAGUACAUAGUUUACGUAUUAUGUUUACUAGGAUAAAACUGUUAAAGAUUUUCCUGUGUAAAGGAAACACUUCUGGUCAAUCCAUGGCAGAAGUCUGUGUAUAUGCAGUCAUUUUGAUCUGCAAUCAACCUAUAACACUAUAAUCUAGCUCAUUUAAUAUCACUUACGUCUUGGAGGAUUGUUAUUCAGUUUCAGCUAUAUUUAUGUUUUCUUAGCAGAUUUUUCAGACAGGUAACUAUGAACUGCAGUUAUUAUGUCAGACAUACAUAUAUAAUAGAUCAAAGACUCCGACUACCAAGAUUAGUGUAGCUUAAUGAAUUGAUAACAUUCAACACUACAGCACUGAUGAAAAAAUCUUUAUAUAUGAAUUGCUUAUGGGUGAUCUUAAUCAAAAUACAGCAUAUACAGGAGGAAAUGGAUAAAUGACAAUAUUUGAUAUUGAAGCAUAAUUUAGAGAGUGGUUGUUUCCUAAUAUUGCUAAUUCUCAGUUAAAAGCCUAUACUACUAUAGAAGUGUUUGAAAGCCUGACAUUGACAUGCUGUGAGAAUUAUGAUAGUAAAGUUUUUUAUUCUCAUUUGAUUUCACAUCUGUAAAUAGAUGAAUAUUAAAAAAUAAGCUUUUAAGCUUAUUAUAUUGUUUAUUAUUUAACAACUCAUCGAGAGAGAGAAUCAGAUGGAAAUAAUGAUAUGUUUAUUUACUGCUAAACACAGUUUAAAAUAUGACCAUUAGAAGAGUUUCCUAAAAUCUGAUUUGUUGUGACUCCUAUCAGGGGCCAUGACAAAUCCAAAAUAAUUUCCAAGGGUCGAUAUUUCAUAUAGUAUCUGUUGAAUGAUUGUUGGAUUUUCUAUUUUAAUCUCAUAACAGUGCAUUUGUUGGUUGUAUUAUUUUACUGCCUAUUGUAACAACUUGUCUAAUAUUGUUUACAUUUACAGAAACACAUAAAGUGAUCUGUCAAUUAAUAUCUAUCAUGCUGUUAUUGUUUUACUAAUGUUAAAUUAACUGCAUCAAUGAAAUGCAUAAUUAGUUUAAAAGUUAACUGAUUUAUUUUUCGUGUUAUUUAAAUUACAUGUACUUUCACAAUAAAGAGUUGUACUCUGUGGCU